UUAGGAAAAGAUAGGCGAACGAAAGUGGACCGAACUUUAUUUAGGAUUGCAGAUGAUUGGACCACAUUUAACAAUUACGAUUGGGGAGGGUUGGUUUUUGGACGUACACUUUCUGCCUUAAAACGAGCCUUGGACAUGCAACAUGCCAAGGGAAAGAAUAAAUCAACUAAGACAAAAUAUACUGUCAUGGGAUUUCCGCAGGCGUUACAGGUUUGGGCAUAUGAGUCUAUACCAACCAUCACUGAAUGUGGUGUACAUAAAGUAAGCAACGAUGCAAUACCACGAAUGCUGAGGUGGGUGUGCGAACUAUCGCCGAAGUCUCAUGUACCUACAUUUGCAAGUUUGAGAGCUUCACCAUAUCUAAGCAAUAGAUUAUAUGACUCUUCAGGACACCCGCGCACUCGUUCAUACACAUUUUCUCUAGCGCGCCAUGUUUUUCAUAACUCAUAUUUAUGCCAUAGUCUUGCCUCAUGUCUUCUAUGAUAUCACGUGGUUGUAUAGACGACCGACUCCCUUGAACUUUGACUUUAUUAAUUCUCCAACAACCCAAGAUUUUGCUUGCCUAUGGUCACGAUUCAAAACGUCAAGAGAACACGAAUGAACUUUGACAUACUUUUUAAUCUUAAAUAUAUUUGAAUCCUUCAAUCUCAUCGCUCGCAGUCUCCAACCACACUUGUUGUCAAUGCAUCUAACAAAGAGAACCUCUUUUGUAGACUUUUUUACUACAAACUGAAAAAAAAAAA
Long non-coding RNA from Cucumis sativus (cucumber), 743 nucleotides. RefSeq lists it as uncharacterized. Lineage: Eukaryota; Viridiplantae; Streptophyta; Magnoliopsida; Cucurbitales; Cucurbitaceae. The record is from RefSeq and is a predicted model, not a curated record. The transcript is spliced from 2 exons.